ACAACAGCCUGUGGAUUAGUGGUAAAAUUCGUCGUUGCCAUCGACGAGCCCCGGUUCGAUUCCCGGCUGUUGCA
This is a non-coding RNA of Boothiomyces macroporosus, 74 nucleotides long. The record is from the annotation of a GenBank genome assembly. NCBI's taxonomy places the organism in Eukaryota, Fungi, Chytridiomycota, Chytridiomycetes, Rhizophydiales, Terramycetaceae.